CAAAAAUACCUAAAAUAAAUAGCCAAAUUCAUCUAAAGUCAAAAUUGCUUCAUGGAGUUAAAACCUUAGUUUCAUAACAACUUCAAAAUUUAUAAACGGGCAAUUUGAGUACAGUUUGUUAAAUCAUGUCAGUACCGAAGCACUGACCACUGAGCUGAUGAUACCCUCGGGGACUGAUAGUCCACCAGCAAAGGUAUCGACCCAGUG
This 207-nucleotide long non-coding RNA is filed under the name Mytilus galloprovincialis (Mediterranean mussel). Lineage: Eukaryota; Metazoa; Mollusca; Bivalvia; Mytilida; Mytilidae. The record is from RNAcentral.